UACGUAGGGUGCAAGCGUUAAUCGGAAUUACUGGGUGUAAAGCGUGCGCAGGCGGUGAUGUAAGACAGGUGUGAAAUCCCCGGGCUUAACCUGGGAACUGCAUUUGUGACUGCAUCGCUGGAGUGCGGCAGAGGGGGAUGGAAUUCCGCGUGUAGCAGUGAAAUGCGUAGAUAUGCGGAGGAACACCGAUGGCGAAGGCAAUCCCCUGGGCCUGCACUGACGCUCAUGCACGAAAGCGUGGGGAGCAAACAGG
Molecule: ribosomal RNA, 253 nt
Filed under: uncultured bacterium
Lineage: Bacteria
Description: partial 16S ribosomal RNA
Rfam family: Bacterial small subunit ribosomal RNA
Source: RNAcentral